GCCAAGACAGAGCUAAAGGAGAGGAGCCGUGCUUAGAGGACUUACCACUGGGAGACAUAAACAGCUUUCUAACUCUCUGAAUUGGCCUACAACAAGUCCAGAUAUCAGUAUGAAGAUACCAGGGGCAACUGCGCCCCCACCAGGGCAGGAAGAUGACUGGGCGCCCCAGGGUCAAG
Molecule: long non-coding RNA, 176 nt
Organism: Salvelinus sp. IW2-2015
Lineage: Eukaryota; Metazoa; Chordata; Actinopteri; Salmoniformes; Salmonidae
Exons: 3
Source: RefSeq, a predicted model, not a curated record